Molecule: ribosomal RNA, 253 nt
Filed under: uncultured bacterium
Lineage: Bacteria
Description: partial 16S ribosomal RNA
Rfam family: Bacterial small subunit ribosomal RNA
Source: RNAcentral
UACAGAGGUCCCAAGCGUUGUUCGGAAUUAUUGGGCGUAAAGGGUGCGUAGGCGGUUUGGUAAGUCUUGUGUGAAAUCUUCGGGCUUAACUCGAAGUCUGCACUGGAAACUGCCGGGCUUGAGUGUGGGAGAGGUGAGUGGAAUUCCCAGUGUAGAGGUGAAAUUCGUAGAUAUUGGGAAGAACACCAGUGGCGAAGGCGGCUCACUGGACCGUAACUGACGCUCAUGCACGACAGCGUGGGGAUCAAACAGG